Long non-coding RNA from Crotalus tigris (Tiger rattlesnake), 2865 nucleotides. RefSeq lists it as uncharacterized. Lineage: Eukaryota; Metazoa; Chordata; Lepidosauria; Squamata; Viperidae. The record is from RefSeq and is a predicted model, not a curated record. The transcript is spliced from 4 exons.
UUCAACAGGUACAAUUUUUAUAAUUUUCCACAACAUAUCUUUCUAUAUCAUUUUUAAUUUUACAUUGUUGGACAGAAAGUUGCUCUUAAGCUGUAGCUUUCAGCACAAUUAACAGCCAAAUUGUAAUACAAAUGACAUAUCACCGUUAUCACUGUUUACACAUUGAAAUCCUGUAUCUUGUUGCUACCAGGCAGCUCUGGCUGCCUAGGGAAUACCAUCAUGAAUUUCUUGAAUGAUUAAGACACGUCCUACUAAUUAAGGGUUGGUUUAUAUUAUCCUUUAUGUACCAGAACUGAAAAGAGCCUUAUUGUUUCUCUUUAAGGUAGUGCAGAAUAGAGGGAGAGAUUGAAAGUUCCUAGUAAUGCAUUCUUCUGGGAGAGAGUUCUAAUGUUGUUCCUGGGAUCUGUGGCAGACAUUCUUCCAACUUAGGAGUCACAGCUCCAACUGCUUUUAUCAUCACUGAGACUACUUUUACCUGUACUUUUCACAUGCUCUUCAGGCCUGGUACUUUUCCAAAUCCUAAUACUCCUUUUUCCUGAUGAUGCUAUCAUUUGGCACUGCUAUGUUUGUCACUCUCACUGUCUUCUGGUCUACUACCACAAUGUCCGGUUGAUUGGCCAGUGCCUGCCUGUUCAUCUGGAUAUGGAAAUCCCACAGGGUCUUAGCCCUGUUAUCCUCUACAACUCUCUGUGGAACCUCCCAUCUGAACCUGGAAGGGUCUAGGCCAUAUUCUAUGCAGAAGUUCCUGUAUAUCAUGCCAACCAUUUUGGUGGUGCUGUUCCUGCCUGCAUCUUACAAUUUACACUACAUGUUGAAGUGUCUUUGAAGCCUCUUUUCAUAGUCUACAUUUUGAGUCUUGCCAAGCGUGGUAGACCCCUGCUUCUAUGGAUCUGAAACUUAGUAUCUGUUCUUGUGCUGAUAGGAUCAGUGCCUCAGUUUUUUUUUUAGCCCAGCCCUUUCCAGCCAGCAGUAGAAGUUUAAUGUCAGCUACCCGUUGAUGGUACAUUCCAUGUAGGGUAUCAUCUUGUAAUAGCACUUCCUCUGUUUGGUCUUCCUCUUAUGUUUCCUGUUUUAGGCAUUCUCUCAACAGUUCAUUUUUGGACGUCAUCUUGGAUCCUAGAUUUUCUGGUUUUAUCCAGGAUGGUACUUUUGAUCCUCAGCAGAUCCUGCCAGCCCCCUAUACAGGCUGGUGUACUGUCUCUGGGUAUUGGACUUGUGAUGCAAACUGCUGUACAUUGUGAGGUGCUUUGAGGUCAUCAGCUUCCAUGACCUCCUUUAGCCAGUUCACUAUACUGGCAGAAUAUCUGAUGCCUGGCAGGGCAUAGGUGUUGAUGGCAUGGAUCUUGUUCUUCCCAUUAAGCUUCCUCUUUGGAACCUGGUUUAUCUUUUGACAAUAUUUGGAGGUUGCUGUCUUCCUUGCCUUCUCAUCAUAGUUCCCAUGUAUUUAUAAGAUACCAAGUGGCUGGUUAAGCUGUGAAAGGGAAAAUACCAUCACCUCUUGCCACACAAAAAGAGAAGUUGGAGAGGGGGCCAAACUGCUUCAUAGGCUUCAUAGCUCCAGACCUGCACUAGAAGAUUAGAUGGUGUUUGUGCAAAAUGCAGAUAACAAAAGCAAGAGUGAAGAAAAUUAAAGAGACAGCUAAAUUCCAGCAACAAAAUGGUUAAUGAAUGUGAAUCAUUGUACCUCUUAUUCUAAGAGUCUGCUAUAGUGUGAACAGCGCAAACAUCAGACAAGCAAAAGAUGCCUAUUGAAGAAGCUGAAUUCAUUUAACAACCACAUGAUUCACUGUAAAAUUGGUUCCAAUGGAAAUUACAAUGGAAAUUCCAAUCCCAGUUAUGGUUGUAAGAUGAGAAUUACCUGCAUCUGCUGAUAUGGCAAAUUCCACAUGUGAUGGUACAACCUGAACAAGCCUCCUUAUGGCCUACUUACAUGUCUCAGGAUGUUGAAGAAAUCUUACAGCAACGUAUGAAAAUACAGAAUGCCACAGAAACAAAUGUAAUUGGCAGCUUCAAAUACUACUAAGGCUACAAAAAUCUCAAAGUAAUUAGUACUGUCUGAAUGUAAUGAUCAUGGUCCUCUAGACUUGUCAAGCUAGCAAAAACUACAUGAAAAAUAUGACAAGCAUUGCAAAUGCCUGUCUCUAAGGUCUCACUUUGGGAAAACUAAAGAAACAAUGCCUUUCUUUGUGCCAAUAUAUUUUAAAGCUAAAGUCUCAGCAUUUGUAAAGAUUUUGACAAUUCUCUGCUUCAAGUGUGACAGGUUUAUACAGAAUAUAACAUGGAGAUAAAAAUAGUUCACAGGAGUGCCAAGGCUUUGGUCAAUUUGUUUAUAAUUUACUUUUAAUCUGAUCAUUAAUUUGGCUGAUUGAAAUACCCUGUCCUCUGCAGAAGAAAGAAUCCUACAAGUUUCUAAAAUUGUAUUUAUAGGAUAAUACUUCUGGGGGCAUUCAAUUCAAUCCAUACACCUUUGUUUUGAAGAUCUGUGGUACCUAUUCUCCACUCCAGUUCCUCGGCUGCUAUAGCACAAUGUUCAAAUGUGUGUUGGUUCCAAGAAAGACAUUAGUCAUCAUUAACAGAAGCACUGACACCAUAUCUAAGUGCCUUUCUACAAUGACCAAGUGGCAAUCAUCUUUCUCUUACGCUGUCACUGCUGAUUAGGGUUUUCCGUCAUGAAAAUUUAAUUUGUUCCCUUUCUGCAUCUCCUUUUGCAACGUUAACAAAGUAUGUCAGUGGCAUAUUGCAAAGACAGCAAAAGAACCUGAUCCGGAACUAGAAAGAUAGUUUUCUGUUUUUAGUUCUCUCAAGAUCUUAAGUUUGGCCUCAAUCAAAUCUUCCCAUCUUUUACAUUGAUUAAAGGACUAUUAA